UCGAGUCUUUGAACGCAAGUUGCG
RNAcentral lists this non-coding RNA (24 nucleotides) under Arabidopsis thaliana (thale cress). Lineage: Eukaryota; Viridiplantae; Streptophyta; Magnoliopsida; Brassicales; Brassicaceae. The record is from RNAcentral.